RNAcentral lists this ribosomal RNA (253 nucleotides) under uncultured bacterium. RNAcentral describes it as "partial 16S ribosomal RNA". It matches the Rfam family "Bacterial small subunit ribosomal RNA", at positions 524 to 776 of the family's 1533-position model. The record is from RNAcentral.
UACAGAGGUCCCAAGCGUUGUUCGGAUUCACUGGGCGUAAAGGGUGCGUAGGCGGGCGGGUAAGUCUGAUGUGAAAUCUUCGAGCUCAACUCGGAAACUGCAUCGGAAACUAUUCGGCUGGAGGAUUGGAGGGGAGACUGGAAUUCUCGGUGUAGCAGUGAAAUGCGUAGAUAUCGAGAGGAACACCAGUGGCGAAGGCGAGUCUCUGGACAAUUCCUGACGCUGAGGCACGAAAGCUAGGGGAGCAAACAGG